RNAcentral lists this ribosomal RNA (364 nucleotides) under uncultured bacterium. Its description in RNAcentral is "bacterial SSU rRNA". It matches the Rfam family "Bacterial small subunit ribosomal RNA", at positions 440 to 793 of the family's 1533-position model. The record is from RNAcentral.
UAGGGGAGGAAGGUAGUGUAGUUAACACCUGCAUUAUUUGACGUUACCUACAGAAGAAGCACCGGCUAACUCCGUGCCAGCAGCCGCGGUAAUACGGAGGGUGCGAGCGUUAAUCGGAAUUACUGGGCGUAAAGCGCAUGCAGGCGGCCUGUUAAGUCAGAUGUGAAAGACCCGGGGCUUAACCUCGGAAUUGCAUUUGAAACUGGCAGGCUAGAGUCUUGUAGAGGGGGGUAGGAAUUUCAGGUGUAGCGGUGAAAUGCGUAGAGAUCUGAAGGAAUACCAGUGGCGAAGGCGGCCCCCUGGACAAAGACUGACGCUCAGAUGCGAAAGCGUGGGGAGCAAACAGGAUUAGAUACCCUGGUAG